Molecule: long non-coding RNA, 487 nt
Organism: Apodemus sylvaticus (European woodmouse)
Lineage: Eukaryota; Metazoa; Chordata; Mammalia; Rodentia; Muridae
Exons: 3
Source: RefSeq, a predicted model, not a curated record
GAUAGACACAUGAAGAACAGUUUCGGGGGUAUAUGUCAUGGCAGCCAUGCUGGUGGACUGGGGGCAGGUGUCAUGGCAGCCAUGCUGAUGGACUGGGGGCAGGUGUCAUGGCAGUCAUGCUGGUGGACUGGGGGCAGGUGUCAUGGCAGCCAUGCUGGUGGACUGGGGGCAGGUGUCAUGGCAGUCAUGCUGGUGGACUGGGGGCAGGUGUCAUGGCAGUCAUGCUGGUGGACUGGGGGCAGGUGUCAUGGCAGUCAUGCUGGUGGACUGGGGGCAGGUGUCAUGGCAGCCAUGCUGGUGGACUGGGGGCAGGUGUCAUGGCAGUCAUGCUGGUGGACUGGGGGCAGGUGUCAUGGCAGCCAUGCUGGUGGACUGGGGGCAGGUGUCAUGGCAGCCAUGCUGGUGGACUGGGGGCAGGUGUCAUGGCAGCCAUACUGGUGGACUGGGGGCAGGUGUCAUGGCAGCCAUGCUGGUGGACUGGGGGCAG